GGAUUAGGCAUGCAAGUCGAACGCUCAUCUUCGGAUGGGAGUGGCGGAAGGGUGAGGAACACGUGAAUAAUCUGCCCCCAAGUUUGGAAUAACUUUCCGAAAGGAAAGCUAAUACCGAAUGUGGUUGAUUUACCGCAUGGUGAAUCAACUAAAGAUUUAUUGCUUGGGGAUGAGUUCGCGUCCCAUUAGCUAGUUGGUGAGGUAACGGCUCACCAAGGCCGAGAUGGGUAGCUGGUCUGAGAGGAUGAUCAGCCACACUGGGACUGAGACACUGCCCAGACUCCUACGGGAGGCUGCAGUCGAGAAUCUUUUGCAAUGCGCGAAAGCGUGACAAAGCAAUGCCGCGUGCCGGAUGAAGGUCUUCGGAUUGUAAACGGCUGUCACCCGUGACGAAAAAUGACGGUAACGGGAGAGGAAGCCACGGCUAACUACGUGCCAGCAGCCGCGGUAAUACGUAGGUGGCGAGCGUUGUUCGGAUUUAUUGGGCGUAAAGGGUCCGUAGGUGGUUUGUUAAGUCUGACGUGAAAUCCCAUGGCUCAACCAUGGAACUGCGUUGGAAACUGAUGAACUGGAGUGUUGUAGAGGUAAGCGGAAUACCAGGUGUAGCGGUGGAAUGCGUAGAUAUCUGGUAGAACACCGAAAGCGAAGGCAGCUUACUGGGCAACAACUGACACUGAGGGACGAAAGCGUGGGGAGCAAACAGGAUUAGAUACCCUGGUAGUCCACGCCGUAAACGUUGUCAACUUGAUGUGGGAGGAUUUAACCCCUUCCGUGUCAAAGCUAACGCGAUAAGUUGACCGCCUGGGGACUACGGCCGCAAGGCUAAAACUCAAAGGAAUUGACG
This 844-nucleotide ribosomal RNA is filed under the name uncultured Lentisphaerota bacterium. Its description in RNAcentral is "bacterial SSU rRNA". It matches the Rfam family "Bacterial small subunit ribosomal RNA", at positions 46 to 915 of the family's 1533-position model. The record is from RNAcentral. Lineage: Bacteria; Pseudomonadati; Lentisphaerota.